GGUAUUUACAGUAUGUGUGUGUGUUGCAGGUGUAUUUACAGUAUGUGUGUGUGUUGCAGGUGUAUUUACAGUAUGUGUGUGUUGCAGGUGUAUUUACAGUAUGUGUGUGUGUUGCAGGUGUAUUUACAGUAUGUGUGUGUUGCAGGGGUAUUUACAGUAUGUGUGUGUGUUGCAGGGGUAUUUACAGUAUGUGUGUGUGUUGCAGGGGUAUUUACAGUAUGUGUGUGUGUU
This is a long non-coding RNA of Myxocyprinus asiaticus (Chinese sucker), 231 nucleotides long. RefSeq lists it as uncharacterized. The record is from RefSeq and is a predicted model, not a curated record. Lineage: Eukaryota; Metazoa; Chordata; Actinopteri; Cypriniformes; Catostomidae. The transcript has 3 exons.